CACAGCUGUAAUCCAUAAAGUCUCCCUUCAGUGCUGAGGCUGCUGUUAAACCAGUCUAAAGUUCCCUGGUACACCCUUGGAUGCUGUCUAAGUCUUCAGUGCUCACCCUCUGUUGCUGUCUGAGUCUUCAGCUGACCUCUCUCUCCUAUACUGAUUGUUCUGAGCACACAGAACGAGAGGUGGAAAGGCAAGCCAGUACGAACUGUGGAAAAAGAAGAAAAACAAUAAAAGUGGU
Sceloporus undulatus (fence lizard) is the source of this 235-nucleotide long non-coding RNA. RefSeq lists it as uncharacterized. The transcript is spliced from 3 exons. NCBI's taxonomy places the organism in Eukaryota, Metazoa, Chordata, Lepidosauria, Squamata, Phrynosomatidae. The record is from RefSeq and is a predicted model, not a curated record.